UAUCGCUGUAAUAAUUUAUUUUUAAAAGCUUUAAAACAGGAAUAAAUUCGUUUUCUCUGAGCUCUUUACUCCAGACGCUCGUGAUCACAGCGGUGAUUCAUCUCUCCUAUUUCUCACGUAUCUCUGGCCAGAAAUAAUUUAUCCAUGAGCCCUGAACCGGUAAUAAUCAGAUAUGUUGGUUUAGCUUGUCAGUGUGAAUUAAAUCUAAGUAUUUGUUUGUAUUUUUAACCGAUUUAAAAGUGAAAGUAAAAGUUCGGGAAUUGAACCUGUAGGGGCGCAAUUUCUCUCAGACAAUGGAAGUCUGAAGCACACAUACUCAAACAGAGGGACAGAGUGAGAUGAGAUGUCUGACAGUUUUUUUAAUUUUCUGUUAUCCAUACAGUGUUGUAAAGUCUUGAAACUAUGCAUAUUUCCUCAGAAUGACUUUUUCAUCUGUAUGAAAAAAUUCUUUGACGUGUUUGGAAGCUGCAAUUUAAAAAUACAAUAAUGAUUCCCUUUGUAAGGUCAUUUAAAAAAAUCACCACGGCAAAACCAUUCAAGCUAUCCAAAAUCCAUUCACAAUUUAAGUUCCUAUCAGAAAUACUGAUGUGUGUUCAGAGUUUUGUGAAAUUCUAAGUAUGUUAUUUGCCUCAAAAUCACCUGAGAAGUAUUCCAGUUUGACAUGUUGCCACGCCAACAAUUUUUUAGAUAUCAAUAUCCCCCUUGCAGAUUUAUAUCGGCUGUGUUUUAACAUUAUUCUGAUGAAGUUUGAAGCAAAUCGAGUAAUAAUAAGAUGCUGAAUUCAAAUCAUUUUGAAAAUGACACACUUCCUUCUGCCAGUUGGUGGCGCUAUAACUUUGACUCCUAAUAGUCACAUAUAUGCGAUCGACAUCGUACAACGAAUAAUCUGAUGAAGUUUGAUUAAAAUCAGGAAAUGUAUGUGGACGGUAUUAGACACUUCCUGUUUCUCAUUUCUCGCCAUAAUUUCAACGCCUCGCCACGAGCAAACCGUUCGAGAUAUCAAAAAUCCCCUGGCAAUUUUUCAUCCCCAGUGUCUUGAGAUCAUGUUGACCGAGUUUGGCGGCAAUCGAGAAAAAAACCUAUGACAAGUAUUUCAAAUUCCAGAGCAUGCGCUUUUUACAUAACUCUAAAUAGCUGACUUCCUGUUGGGUGGAGCCUAUGACAUGCAAUACGAAAGUUGUUCGGCACGAUGAGAUCUAUAUUUGUACUGAGUUUCAUAUGAAUAUGUGCAAGUAUGUGUGAGCUAUACAUCAACAUUUCUGACUGUGUUCCAGGGGGCGCCGUAGAGCCCCUGUGCCACGCCCGGGUCCCAGCCUCUGCAGGCUCCUAAAGGCCACAGAUUCCAAAGUGUGCGCAAAUUUUCAAGAGUUUUUGAGUAUGUUAAGGACCCCAAAAGCCCCCACAACUUUGACGAAAAAUUUGAAUACUAAACCCUAAAUAGCCAACUUCCUGUUGGGCGGAGCCUAUGAUAUGCAAUACAAAAGUUGUUUGGAUUGAUGAGAUUUAUAUGUGUACCGAGUUUCAUUCGUCUACGAGCAAGAAUGUAUGAUAUAUGGCCCUCCAUAUUCCAGGGGGCGCUGUAGAGCCCCUGUGCCACGCCCGUGUAUCAGUCUCUGCCCGGCCCUAAUGGCCGCAGGUUCCAAUCUGUGUGCCAAUUUUCAAGACUUUUUAAGCACGUUAAGGGCCCCAAAAGCCCCCGAGACGUUGGAAAAAAAUAAUAAUAAUAAUAAUAAUAAUAAUAAUAAAAAAUAAUCCUAAGGAAAACAAUAGGCCUCUCGCCCUUUGGGCUUGAGCCCUAAAUAUAGCUGCAAGCAGCGAUGGCGGGCUCAAGCCACCAAUGCCAUCGCCACCCCGGUGGCAUCAGGUAAACUGUGCCCAGCGGGCACAUGCAUUCACAAUAUCCCUCUGGCAGUGAGGUUUUAAAGGAUAUGGCAGUUAAAGGGUUAAUCCGAAUCAUCUAGACUUUAAAAUCACAUUCACAGAACAAUAUAUAUAUGUAUAUAACUUUAGUAACACUUUACAAUAAGAUUCCAUUUAUAAACAUUAUGUUAACAUGAACAAUAUUUAUAUAGCAUUCAUUCACGUCAGUUAAUAUUCCAAACUUAAACAUUAAAACAUUGUUUUAUUGUGAUUUUUUUCCAAGCAUAUUUUACCAAUUCCAAACCAUAUCAAUCUUAAUAACUACCAUUAUUUUUUAUUUAAUCAUUUAUGAGUGCUAUACAAUAGUCCACGAAAGCUGGAAGAGAAAAACAGGUCAAGAAGAACUGACAAAAAGAAUUGCAAAAUAAUUAGGAAUUAAUGUGAAGAUUAAUUUUUAGUCAAUUCUGCAAGACAGACUUUCAGGAAAGGAGGUGGAAUAAAAAUGAGCUCCUAAAUCUUAAUCCCGGAUUCUGGAAGAUAUAUUCCUCAAACCAUCGAACAAGAGGAGGUGGUGCUGGUCCUUCACGAGUCACUCUAAUCUGUUCAUAAAGCCUAUAUAUAAAGACUUAAUAUAUAGUAUUUCACAAUACUUCAUGGUAUUCUAAUUAAAUCAUUUUUUGGAAUCUUAAGUCUCUCAGAGUCCGACACCGAGUAAUUCUGGAGACUCCAGGAAAGUGGCAGUUCUGUAAAAUGUUGGCGCUGGAGACUAAAUGCACCCUGAUAGUUUCACACCUAAUUCACUUAACAAACACACACACACACAUUACCCACAGUGACAGUGGGACUGAGUGACAUCAGAUGUAUGAUAGUUUUUUUUUAUUUUCUAUCAUCCAUACAGUGUUGUAUAGUCAUGAAACUAUGGUCAUGAGACCAGUCAUUCUGAGGAAAUAUGCCUCAGAAUGACUGGUCUUCUAUGUGUACAUUUUUUUUUUUUUAAGUGUUUAGAAGCUGCACUUUAAAAAAAUAAAAAGACAUUUACUGGUUCCUUUUUUACUAUUAUUUCAAAAAAUCAUCACGGCAAAACCAUUCAAGCUAUCCAAAAUUCAUCACCUAUUCUGUAAGAUUAAUUCUUUAAACAGUGGUAAAAGAGGAUGUGGUGCUGAACCUUCAAGAGUCACUCAAAACGUUAUCUGUCCAUAAAGCCUAUAAAGAAUUAUUCUUAAUAUACAGUUCAAAAUACUUCAGCUUGUUAUUCUAAUUAAGUGAGGGUCAUUUUAUCAGUAAAAUAUAUACAAUUCAUUUUUUUUGAAAGAUUUCUAUGAAUGAUUUAAAUCAUACUCGUUUCUACAAUAAUUAUUUAAAAGUAAUCCUAUAGCUCCCUCUGGUGGCCAUUAUAGGUACUAAGAAUUGCAAGCUUGAUUUAUAAGUUAUGAUAGUUUUAAUUUUAUGCUGGCUCUUGAAAAUGAUAAAGCUAUGAAACUUACUGUGCUUCCUUCAAAUGAGGACUUCUACUUAUAUAAAAAAUUAUGAAGAGUUAGAAUGAAAAAUUUUAAAGGUAUAGUAAAAUAACUAUUGUAUUUUUUAUGUUACUUUAAUAAAUCUCUAUGGCAACACCAUUUAAGCUAUCCUAAACCCAUUCACAAUUUAACAUCUCAGUAUAUAGGCAUAAUGUUGAAAAAGGAGUAUGGAGUAGUAUGAGUAGGAGUAUGAAUUCAUUUGCAGGCUUUAUCAUAAAUCCACAAUAAAAUUUCUGAGUUCUGUA
Carassius gibelio (silver crucian carp) is the source of this 3622-nucleotide long non-coding RNA. RefSeq lists it as uncharacterized. The record is from RefSeq and is a predicted model, not a curated record. NCBI's taxonomy places the organism in Eukaryota, Metazoa, Chordata, Actinopteri, Cypriniformes, Cyprinidae. The transcript has 3 exons.